UAGGGAAUCUUCCACAAUGGGCGCAAGCCUGAUGGAGCAACACCGCGUGAGUGAAGAAGGGUUUCGGCUCGUAAAACUCUGUUGUUAAAGAAGAACAUAUCUGAGAGUAACUGUUCAGGUAUUGACGGUAUUUAACCAGAAAGCCACGGCUAACUACGUGGCAG
RNAcentral lists this ribosomal RNA (164 nucleotides) under uncultured bacterium. Its description in RNAcentral is "partial 16S ribosomal RNA". It matches the Rfam family "Bacterial small subunit ribosomal RNA", at positions 355 to 511 of the family's 1533-position model. The record is from RNAcentral.